RNAcentral lists this long non-coding RNA (575 nucleotides) under Physcomitrium patens. RNAcentral describes it as "long non-coding RNA (PPAT_LNC002919)". Lineage: Eukaryota; Viridiplantae; Streptophyta; Bryopsida; Funariales; Funariaceae. The record is from RNAcentral.
UGAAUUUUUUUGAGCACAUAUCUCUUAUUGUCAGCUUUCCAAUGAGCAUAGGCUUGCUCAAUUUGGAGCUAAAAUAAAAAAUUUGUGAAUUUUUGAGUGCGAGGGAGUUGGUUGUCUUGGCAAUUUGGAUCAGCAGUCUUUGAAAAGAUAUUUCUCAGUGUUUUUUACUUAAAAAAUUCUAAAAUUUUAAGAAUAAGAGCAAAUACAAGUUUAGCUUCCAAUGGCAUAUGUUUGAUUAUGUUUAAAGUACAUCCGAGUUUUUGGUGUAUUUUGGAAAGAAGGGUAGUAAGCUACCAUGGCUGUCUCAGUUAUUCAAUUUUGAAGGAGUAUUGUGCAUGCCUCAAGUAUUGGAUUGCCACAAAAUUUCUUGAAGCAGAAGCGCCUUGAAGUUAGGUUUUCAACCAAGAAAAAAUCAUUAGAAUUAAAGCUGAUACGAAUAGUUGGCUAAUUUUGGAGUAGAAGGAAGUUGCUGCACUAAAUUCUUGGUCGUUAUCAAGGUGCCUUCUCUUCAUCCAUCUUAGUUUUUAUUUUCUCUUUUAUUUUUACACUAACUUGUAACUCUCAUAUGUAAAAUA